This 497-nucleotide ribosomal RNA is filed under the name uncultured bacterium. Its description in RNAcentral is "partial 16S ribosomal RNA". It matches the Rfam family "Bacterial small subunit ribosomal RNA", at positions 28 to 507 of the family's 1533-position model. The record is from RNAcentral.
GAUGAACGCUGGCGGCGUGCCUAACACAUGCAAGUCGAGCGAACAGACGAGGAGCUUACUCCUCUGACGUUAGCGGCGGACGGGUGAGUAACACGUGGAUCACCUACCUAUCAGACGGGGAUAAUUACGGGAAACCGGCGCUAAUACCGUAUAACAUCUUGAACCGCAUGGUUCAACAGUGAAAGACGGUCUUGCUGGCACUUAUAGAUGGAUCCGCGUCGCAUUAGCUAGUUGGUAAGGUAACGGCUUACGAAGGCAACGAUGCGUAGCCGACCUGAGAGAGUGAUCGGCCACACUGGAAGUGGCACACCGUCCAGGCUCCUGCGGGAGGCCGCAGUCGGGAAUCUUCCGCAGUGGGCGAAAGUCUUACGCAGCAGCGGCGCGUGUGUGAAGAAAAUCUUCGGAUCGUAAAACUGUGUUAUGAGUGGAAAACAACUGUGGCAGUAGCUAUGCCGGUCUUGACGGUACCUGAUCAAGAAGCAACGGCUAACUACGUG